UACGUAGGGUGCGAGCGUUAAUCGGAAUUACUGGGCGUAAAGCGUGCGCAGGCGGCGCGUUAAGACAGGUGUGAAAGCCCCGAGCUUAACUUGGGAAUUGCGCUUGUGACUGGCGUCCUGGAGUGUGGCAGAGGGAGGUGGAAUUCCACGUGUAGCAGUGAAAUGCGUAGAGAUGUGGAGGAACACCGAUGACGAAGGCAGCCUCCUGGGCCAGCACUGACGCUCAUGCACGAAAGCGUGGGGAGCGAACAGG
This 253-nucleotide ribosomal RNA is filed under the name uncultured bacterium. RNAcentral's name for it is "partial 16S ribosomal RNA". It matches the Rfam family "Bacterial small subunit ribosomal RNA", at positions 524 to 776 of the family's 1533-position model. The record is from RNAcentral.